AAAUAGACAACAGCAUUUCCAAUACAAGGUACACCAAAAAGAAAGAAGGCAAUGUUCAACUGUUACUAUUACCAAGACCGGAAGUUUGCUAACAUAUGGAAGUCUUCAUCUGCAUCCUAUCUUUGCCUCUUAUGCAGGCAGGGGCAAACUGCAGUACAAUCAUGCACCUUGGAACAAGGCAACUUCUUCCAUGUGGCUACUGCAAACUCCACCAAUGCCUUUGCUGCCGCUUGUUCGCUAUCUGCUGCCCACACAAUGAAUGCAACUUGGUUGUUACUAAGCACAUCCCAUACCUGAGUACCAACCCAGAGCCACUCAUAAAAGUUUGCCAUUUUUGAAAGGAAAAUUAGGUGGUUUUACUUUUCUAUUGUACUGAAAAUGCCCCUAUCAAUAUUUCAUGGAAAUGGGCUUACCCCAUCAGUUGCCAAAAUGAUGAACUGGUCGCUAGAUGUCAAUCGGCGAUAAGAGAUCUCUG
This 475-nucleotide unclassified non-coding RNA is filed under the name Hevea brasiliensis (rubber tree). The record is from RNAcentral. Lineage: Eukaryota; Viridiplantae; Streptophyta; Magnoliopsida; Malpighiales; Euphorbiaceae.